This 253-nucleotide ribosomal RNA is filed under the name uncultured bacterium. RNAcentral's name for it is "partial 16S ribosomal RNA". It matches the Rfam family "Bacterial small subunit ribosomal RNA", at positions 524 to 776 of the family's 1533-position model. The record is from RNAcentral.
UACGUAGGGGGCAAGCGUUAUCCGGAUUUACUGGGUGUAAAGGGAGCGUAGACGGCGAUGCAAGUCUGAAGUGGAAGCCCGGGGCUCAACCCCGGGACUGCUUUGGAAACUGUAUGGCUGGAGUGCUGGAGAGGCAAGCGGAAUUCCUAGUGUAGCGGUGAAAUGCGUAGAUAUUAGGAAGAACACCAGUGGCGAAGGCGGCUUGCUGGACAGUAACUGACGUUGAGGCUCGAAAGCGUGGGGAGCAAACAGG